ACACGAAUCCGUAUUUCAAUUUUAAAUCGUAACUAAGUAACAUACAACAUGGCAGCCUUCGAAGCAGUACCACAUGGCAGAGCUUUGAAGAAAAAGGUACAAGCUUUAAGAGGUGUGGUUCAUCCACGAAUGUCCCAAAUUACCCUGUGCAAACCUCUAAGCCAACAACUAUCCUCUGACGAAAAUACUAGUCAUCAGAAAACUAAACCGUUCAUCUUAGAUUUCAAAGAGAUACAUAGUGUAACAAAAAUUACAGUGUUUGUAAAUUUUAGUAUUUUCGAAGCGUCGCAACAGCACAAUUUUUUUCGUGUCUUAAAAAAUGUAGCAAAUUCAACAAAUAUCAAAAAUACAAGAAUCAUGAGAUAAAAUAUUAUGAUUUAAAGGUUUCACUCAACUGAGAAAAGAAAAAAAACUUACUGGCUUUGUGCAAAAGGAAUUUUUUAAAUAAAUCAACUGGGUGCUUGUCAAAGAGUAUGGAAUGCAAAGCAUUAAAUAUUCGUCCCAAUUUACACCACUGUCCCAAAUAACCCCAUUUGACGGUACCUAUUAUUGUCAAAAGCCUGGAAACUUUAAUUAAUGAACUCCAGUCAAGCAGUACUCUUCAGUCUCGCCACCUGUCAACACUGAUUUACCAAAACACCUGUCCCCUUUAUGCCUUAAAAGUUCUUGUGAUACACCUACGAUUGAGGAAAAUGAUAAUACUGGCGACGGUGUGGAAGAGAUGGUGGAGAAGCCAACUAGGCGAACAACUGGGUUGCUGUCUGGUUGCUAAGGUAGCACUGGCUCCUGGUAUUAAGAUUUUGCAUUCGCAGAGGGAUUUUUUGAUUUUACAAGGAAAUCCAAAGAACUACACGUAUGCGUUAAUGGACAUAAUUUGGUCCAGAGAAGUGUUAGCAACACAUUCCUUAACAGGAAAAACGUUUAAUGCUCACAAAGAUAAAACACCAAAGCCUUCAUUGGAUGCUCCAAAAGUUGCUGCACUGUGUGAUUGUCAAAGGAGGAUCAUGACGGAAGGAACCGCUAUCACAAUUACCAAAAAAAUGCAACAAUUAUAGAAAAAACACGCACGGAGAAAUUACUGGAACUUCCAGUGGAAAACCAAGCUAUACCAUGCACCCUGGAAAGCCGUCGUAAAGUUUAAUACCAGAGCCUAACCUCAAUCCAGUACUGUGUGGAUACUCAUAAUUCUUGAAUAUGAGACAAACAAUGUGCAGUGGGAGUAAAAAGGUAUACGAAGAUAAGGAAUGGCAAAGUGUACAAAUGUGUAAAUAAGUAACUGGCUUUAUUAAAUUUGGAACAUAUUUUACUUUCGCCUUAAUAGACUAUAAAAAGUACAGUUAUGUUUUGUGCAUUUUCUGCUUCGUUUCUGUUAGACACAUUACAAAUAAAAUUUUUACGUUAAAAUAACCUAAACAAUGAACAUUUUCACGCACUUUGGCCUAGCGAUCAAAUGAUAUUAUUUUACACGAAAUGUAAAACUAAUGUCAAAUAUAAGCACCUUAGCUGUGAUAUUAUUAUGUCUCAACAUAACGUCAACAGUGUGACAGUAGAAGUGCCUCUUUUAUUUAAGGAAAAUUUUCUUUGUGCA
This is an RNA transcript of Xenia sp. Carnegie-2017, 1588 nucleotides long. RefSeq lists it as uncharacterized. The record is from RefSeq and is a predicted model, not a curated record. The transcript is spliced from 5 exons. Lineage: Eukaryota; Metazoa; Cnidaria; Anthozoa; Malacalcyonacea; Xeniidae.